UAUAAAAAAUUAAUAUUCUUAAUAAGCAAAAAAAUUUAAUUACAUUUUAUUUAAUAAAAAUAUAAAAAAUUCACAUGUAUAAAGAAACAUAUAUUUCGAAAGCACUGUGAGGAGUGGACCCACCGGAAGGCGUAAUUGGUUGGCCAAGAAAAUUGUCAUUAGAAGUAGUUGGUUGGGACUUAGAAUUAAGUACUACGAGUAGCGGGUUUUUAAGUGCCUCGUGCAUACAAACAUGGAUGGUCAUGGUGGCGAUGGGUCAUUUUCAUGAACUAAGACCUCUAUCACAUUAAGACACUUGCACCCCCAAGAGAAUCACAUACUAGUGUCCACACAAUUAAAAGACAAAAUUAAGUUGAAUACGUAUUAUGGUAGCUUCAAAAAAAAAAAUAGUAA
RNAcentral lists this unclassified non-coding RNA (393 nucleotides) under Hevea brasiliensis (rubber tree). The record is from RNAcentral. Lineage: Eukaryota; Viridiplantae; Streptophyta; Magnoliopsida; Malpighiales; Euphorbiaceae.